UUAGGUGAUCGAAGACGAUCAGAUACCGUCCUAGUCCUAACCAUAAACGAUGCCAACUAGAUAUUGGAGGCUGUCAUUAUCAAGGCUCCUUCGGUAUCUCAUGAGAAAUCAAAGUUUUUGGGUUCCGGGGGGAGUAUAGUCGCAAGGCCGAAACUUAAAGGAAUUGACGGAAGGGCACCACCAGGAGUGGAGCCUGCGGCUUAAUUUGACUCAACACGGGAGAACUCACCAGGUCCAGACAUAGAGAGGAUUGACAGACUAAAAGCUCUUUCUUGAUUCUAUGGGUGGUGGUGCAUGGCCGUUCUUAGUUGGUGGAGUGAUUUGUCAGGUUAAUUCCGUUAACGAACGAGACCUCAUCUUGCUAAAUAAUGAGUCACAAUCUCGAUUGUGAUAAUCGUUUCUUAGAGGGACUUUGCGCGCUCUAGCGCAAGGAAGUGUGAGGCAAUAACAGGUCUGUGAUGCCCUUAGAUGUUCUGGGCUGCACGCGCGCUACACUGAUACGAUCAUCGAGUUCCCACCUUUUCCGGAAGGAUCGGGCAACCUUAAAAAUUGCAUCGUGAUGGGGAUCGAUUUUUGUAAUUAUAAAUCUUCAACGAGGAACUCCUAGUAAGCGCGAGUCAUCAGCUCGUGCUGAUUGCG
Molecule: ribosomal RNA, 639 nt
Filed under: uncultured eukaryote
Lineage: Eukaryota
Description: SSU rRNA
Rfam family: Eukaryotic small subunit ribosomal RNA
Source: RNAcentral